This 468-nucleotide ribosomal RNA is filed under the name uncultured bacterium. RNAcentral's name for it is "partial 16S ribosomal RNA". It matches the Rfam family "Bacterial small subunit ribosomal RNA", at positions 28 to 507 of the family's 1533-position model. The record is from RNAcentral.
GACAAACGCUGGCGGCGUGCUUAACACAUGCAAGUCGAACGGAAAGGCCCUGCUUUUGUGGGGUGCUCGAGUGGCGAACGGGUGAGUAACACGUGAGUAACCUGCCCUUGACUUUGGGAUAACUUCAGGAAACUGGGGCUAAUACCGGAUAGGAGCUCCUGCUGCAUGGUGGGGGUUGGAAAGUUUCGGCGGUUGGGGAUGGACUCGCGGCUUAUCAGCUUGUUGGUGGGGUAGUGGCUUACCAAGGCUUUGACGGGUAGCCGGCCUGAGAGGGUGACCGGCCACAUUGGGACUGAGAUACGGCCCAGACUCCUACGGGAGGCAGCAGUGGGGAAUAUUGCACAAUGGGCGGAAGCCUGAUGCAGCAACGCCGCGUGCGGGAUGACGGUCUUCGGGUUGUAAACCGCUUUCGCCUGUGACGAAGCGUGAGUGACGGUAAUGGGUAAAGAAGCACCGGCUAACUACGUG